CUAAGUUUGAUGGCGACCGGCGCACGGGUGAGUAACACGUAUCCAACCCGCCGAUGACUCGGGGAUAGCCUUUCGAAAGAAAGAUUAAUACCCGAUGGCAUAGUUCUUCCGCAUGGUGGAACUAUUAAAGAAUUUCGGUCAUCGAUGGGGAUGCGUUCCAUUAGGUUGUUGGCGGGGUAACGGCCCACCAAGCCUUCGAUGGAUAGGGGUUCUGAGAGGAAGGUCCCCCACAUUGGAACUGAGACACGGUCCAAACUCCUACGGGAGGCAGCAUG
RNAcentral lists this ribosomal RNA (275 nucleotides) under uncultured bacterium. RNAcentral's name for it is "partial 16S ribosomal RNA". It matches the Rfam family "Bacterial small subunit ribosomal RNA", at positions 79 to 353 of the family's 1533-position model. The record is from RNAcentral.